UUGAGUAGAGAUGAGGUUUCACCAUGUUGGCCAGGCUGGUCUCGAUCUCUUGACCUCGUGAUCUACCCGUCUCAGCCUCCCAAAGUCCUGGGAUUACAGGCAUGAGCCCCCACGCCUGGCCGGAAGCUUUUUUAUCGUGCAUGCCACAUGUGCCCAUGUGCCUCCAGUCCACGUGUGACCCUGCUCAUUCCUCCGGGUUUUCAUGUGUUUCUGUCUCAGGCAUGAAUUGCUUUUAAUGACGUGUCCGUGGGGGGCCAUGUGCCCCCCGGGAUCUCUGUGUCUUCCAGCAGCCGACUGAGGCACAUCAUGGCUGAGAUGAUCGCCACAGAGAGGGAGUACGUUCGGUGCUUAGGAUACGUCAUCGACAACUAUUUCCCAGAAAUGAAAAGAAUGGACUUGCCCCAGGGCCUUCGAGGGAAGCACCACGUUAUUUUCGGCAACUUGGAGAAGCUCCACGACUUCCACCAGCAGCACUUCCUCCGGGAGCUGGAGCGCUGCCGGCACUGCCCCUUGGCCGUGGGCCGCAGUUUCCUAAGACACGAAGAGCAAUUUGGGAUGUACGUGAUCUACAGCAAAAACAAGCCGCAGUCGGAUGCCCUGCUCAGCAGCCACGGCAACGCCUUCUUCAAGGACAAGCAGCGGGAGCUGGGUGACAAGAUGGACCUGGCCUCCUACCUGCUGCGGCCCGUGCAGCGUGUGGCCAAGUACGCGCUGCUACUCCAGGACCUGCUCAAGGAGGCCAGCUGCAGCCUGGCCCAGGGGCAGGAGCUGGGCGAGCUCCGAGCCGCUGAGGUCAUGGUCUGCUUCCAGCUGCGUCACGGCAAUGACCUGCUGGCCAUGGACGCCAUCCGCGGCUGUGACGUGAAUUUGAAGGAACAGGGGCAGCUGAGAUGCCGGGAUGAGUUUAUCGUUUGCUGCGGGAGGAAGAAGUAUCUGAGGCAUGUGUUCCUCUUUGAAGACCUCAUCCUGUUUAGCAAGACCCAGAAGGUGGAGGGCAGCCACGACGUCUACCUGUACAAGCAGUCCUUCAAGACGGCCGAGAUCGGGAUGACAGAGAACGUCGGGGACAGUGGCUUGAGGUUUGAGAUUUGGUUUCGCAGGCGGCAGAAAUCUCAGGACACCUACAUUCUCCAAGCAAGCUCGGCAGAGGUCAAGAGUGCAUGGACCGAUGUCAUAGGGAGGAUCCUGUGGCGGCAGGCACUAAAGAGCAGAGGAAGGUGGGGAACACCCCCCAGGCAGAGAGACCUGGACAGCUACCGCCGUGAAUGAGAGCUCUCUGGCUGCCCCCCGGCCAGCUAUGCUCUGACGGCCAAGCAUGGCAGUCCUUGCCUGUGUCCCAGCGUGGGGUUAGUUCUGGAACAUUUGAUCACUUCUCCUGCUCCGCUCUCUGCACUCCACCUGGAACUCCCGAUUACACAGCUCAGAAUCCAAGAAAUGGCAUCCAUGGGGAUAGGCAACCAGCCAUUCAUGGACAUCAAGCCCAGAGACCGGGCCCGUGACUGUGCAGUGAUAAGCGACCGGGCUCCCAAAUGUGCAGUGAUGAGCAACCGGGUCCCCGACAGCAUCGUCAAAGGCACAGAGUCACAAAUGAGAGGGUCCGCAGCGGUGUCCUCCUCUGAUCAUGCCACCCCCUUCAAGCGACCACACUCCACCAUCUCGGACAGCAGCACCUCCUCUUCUAGCAGCCAGUCCUCCUCCAUCCUGGUGUCACUGGGCCUGCUUGUGUCCUCCAGCCCAGCUCACCCGGGCCUGUGGAGCCCUGCCCACAGCCCCUGGUCAUCUGACAUCAGAGCCUGCGUCGAGGAAGAUGAGCCAGAGCCAGAACUGGAGACGGGCACCCAGGCUGCGGUGCAUGAGGGGGCUCCUGCUGUGCUGCUGAGCCGCACACGCCAGGCCUGAUGACUCUGGGGGUGGCAGUGCCCAUCACGUAGCUGGAAUGAUACAUAGGGAGCAGCACGCCAGGCCUGAUGACUCUGGGGGUGGCGGUGCCCAUCGCGUGGCUGGAACGAUCCAGAGGGAGUAGCACAGCAGGUGUCCAGGUAUUUCUCUGGAUUUUAGACACUCCCUAACAUUUUCAAACAAAUUUAAAAUUUUGUCUGAUUUAAAAAACAAACCUUCCACUUCCACCCAAGAGAACAGCAUAGGAAACAGACCUAAAACAAGAC
Molecule: small RNA, 2165 nt
Filed under: Pongo abelii (Sumatran orangutan)
Lineage: Eukaryota; Metazoa; Chordata; Mammalia; Primates; Hominidae
Description: retained intron
Source: RNAcentral